RNAcentral lists this long non-coding RNA (684 nucleotides) under Homo sapiens (human). RNAcentral's name for it is "HSALNT0306589". Lineage: Eukaryota; Metazoa; Chordata; Mammalia; Primates; Hominidae. The record is from RNAcentral.
GUUCUUGGGACAUAUUGUCAGAAAUCACCUACUUCAUUUUCUUUCUUCAAACUGAUUAUUUCCCAACAUGAUGACAUGAAUUUAAUUCCAGCAGGGGAUGUUAUCAUAUUAAGUUUCUCUUCCAUUUAGUUAGACAACAAUUCUGCAACACAAGGUCAAAGUCAUUCAGCCUUAGCCAUUUUCCUGUGUUUGUAACAACUGCCUUUGUGCCCAGAUGGUCUGAGUCACGGCCUUUGUCAACACACAUGUGUCUUGCCAUUUCUUUUGGCUUUUUUCUUAAGAGUUGAAGUCACAAGUUGCAGAAAUUAAUCUCAUCCCUUCCACCAUGUGAGGACGCAGCAAGAAGACACCAUCUAUGAACCGGAAAAAAACAGGCCCUUACCAGGCACGAAAUCUGCCAGAGCCCUGAUCUUGGUCUCUCCAGUGUCCAGAGUUGUGAGGUCAAGAAUGAUGAGAAAUAAACUUCUGUUGCUUUUAACCAGUCGGUUUACAGUACUUUGUUACAGCAACCCAAAUGUACUAAGACACCCCUUUGUCUCCAGGGAACCUGUACUUUGAUUAAAUCUGGAUUUACUUGUAACAAAAUAAAGAAAUUCUCUUCGUUAGCAGUGUAAUUCUUCCCAAAGAAGAUUUUUUUUAAUUGGGAGAAUAUUUGUUUAACCAUUUGUGUGAGUAGGAAUGAGA